GGGCCCGCACAAGCGGUGGAGCAUGUGGUUUAAUUCGAUGCAACGCGAAGAACCUUACCAGGACUUGACAUACUACAAAUUCUUUUGAGAAAAAGAAGUGCCUUCGGGAAUGUAGAUACAGGUGGUGCAUGGCUGUCGUCAGCUCGUGUCGUGAGAUGUUGGGUUAAGUCCCAUAACGAGCGCAACCCCCAUUUCUAGUUGCCAGCGGUUCGGCCGGGGACUCUAGAGAAACUGCCAGCGUAAGCUGUGAGGAAGGUGGGGAUGACGUCAAGUCCUCAUGGCCCUUAUGGUUGGGGCUACACACGUACUACAAUGGUAACUACAGAGGGCAGCAAGACCGCGAGGUGGAGCCAAUCCCAAAAAAGUUGCCUCAGUUCGGAUUGGAGUCUGCAACUCGAGUGCAUG
RNAcentral lists this ribosomal RNA (405 nucleotides) under uncultured bacterium. RNAcentral's name for it is "bacterial SSU rRNA". It matches the Rfam family "Bacterial small subunit ribosomal RNA", at positions 917 to 1322 of the family's 1533-position model. The record is from RNAcentral.